GAUGAACGCUAGCUACAGGCUUAACACAUGCAAGUCGAGGGGAAACGAUAUUGGAAGCUUGCUUCUGAUAGGCGUCGACCGGCGCACGGGUGAGUAACGCGUAUCCAACCUGCCCAUCACUUGGGGAUAACCUUGUGAAAGUAAGACUAAUACCCAAUGACGUCUCUAGAAGACAUCUGAAGGAGAUUAAAGAUUUAUCGGUGAUGGAUGGGGAUGCGUCUGAUUAGCUUGUUGGCGGGGUAACGGCCCACCAAGGCGACGAUCAGUAGGGGUUCUGAGAGGAAGGUCCCCCACAUUGGAACUGAGACACGGUCCAAAACUCCUACGGGAGGCAGCAGUGAGGAAUAUUGGUCAAUGGGCGAGAGCCUGAACCAGCCAAGUAGCGUGCAGGAUGACGGCCCUAUGGGUUGUAAACUGCUUUUAUAAGGGAAUAAAGUGGGACGUGUGACUCUUUUUGCAUGUACCUUAUGAAUGAGGACCGGCUAAUUCCGUGCCAG
RNAcentral lists this ribosomal RNA (497 nucleotides) under uncultured bacterium. Its description in RNAcentral is "bacterial SSU rRNA". It matches the Rfam family "Bacterial small subunit ribosomal RNA", at positions 28 to 511 of the family's 1533-position model. The record is from RNAcentral.